GAUGCUAAUACCGGAUAACAACAGAUGAUGCCUAUCAACUGUUUAAAAGUAUGGUUCUGCUAUCACUCUUGGAUGGACCUGCGGUGCAUUAGCUAGUUGGUAGGGUAACGGCCUACCAAGGCGAUGAUGCAUAGCCGAGUUGAGAGACUGAUCGGCCACAUUGGGACUGAGACACGGCCCAAACUCCUACGGGAGGCAGCAGUG
This 204-nucleotide ribosomal RNA is filed under the name uncultured Lactobacillus sp. Its description in RNAcentral is "partial 16S ribosomal RNA". It matches the Rfam family "Bacterial small subunit ribosomal RNA", at positions 159 to 356 of the family's 1533-position model. The record is from RNAcentral. Lineage: Bacteria; Bacillati; Bacillota; Bacilli; Lactobacillales; Lactobacillaceae.